This 1773-nucleotide long non-coding RNA is filed under the name Sus scrofa (pig). RNAcentral describes it as "lncRNA (ENSSSCG00060058512.1)". The record is from RNAcentral. Lineage: Eukaryota; Metazoa; Chordata; Mammalia; Artiodactyla; Suidae.
GGCCCCGUUCUGAACCAGUUGACCAAAAAUCCCGAGCAAAGUGCUCCAGUGAGAGGAGGGAGAGACAGCUGUCAGCUGGAGCUGCUGAAUGCAGCGCGAAGGAUGGAAGGAUGCUGAUUUGAGCUGGGCGUGAUUUGGAAGAUCCAGGGAAGGACAUUCCAGGUCCCGGACAGCCAAAGCGAAGUCUCACAGGAUUCUGCUCUGCCCUUCAGCUCUGCAUCUGAUGGCCAGCAUCUGGGGGAUCUUGUUUUCCUAAGAUUGUUGGAAUUCCUGUUAUCAUCAUAUGAAGUCUUCCCCUGGCGUCAUCAGCUUCCUGUAUCCAGGAGCUGUUCUAACUAAGGAACCUCAGUGCAGACACCUGAAUAUCACAUUCUCUGCCUGAAGAAUUCUCCGAUCUUGGUAGAGUGUGGACCCUUUUGAGAUCUUGCUUUUUGGCAUGAUCAUUUCUGACAUACCUCUGUGUCCAUUGGUGUAAUUUUUUGUUUUUGGAAACAGACUGAGCUGCUUCUGCCCAGAGCCAUCAAGGCUGUACCUGAAACUGUCUCCUGACCUUGGAGUGCUCAAGUUCACAUGGACUCUCCACUUUGUUCUGGAGAUAUGUGGGCUCCGGCUCAGGCAGCAUCAAGACAAGCCAGGCCUGCAGACCUCCCCAAGGGACAAAAGCCCUCCUCCUCACCCACGAAGGUGGGCUCAUCCUGCUGGAUAUGAGACCUUCCCUUUACCUCUGCUAUCUUUUCUCUGUGUAAGAUUCACAUGACUCCCGCUCAGUCAUGGAUGUAGGCACGCCUCCGUGCCCGGGACCUCCACCGUCUCUUCCCCAGUCCUGCUGCAACUGCUCCGUAGCCCAGGCCCCACGACAUAACCGUCCCUGUGGCAGCAGCUGGUAGAUAAGACCAAAGGAUAUGACCAAAGAUUGGAAGGGUUAGGCCUCUCAGGAGGAUUGCCCCAGGGGCACGAUGCUGGCAGGUUAUGAGAACGAGAUGCCUCAGGGUAAGGACCCAGCCUUCACUUACUAAUCCUGUAAAUGAUGGAGAAGGGAAAUCCAGCGUUUAAAAAUAUCCCACCACGGAGUUCCCGUUGUGGCACAAUGGGAUUGGCAGCAUCUAGGGAGCUCUGGGACACAGGUUCUGUCCCAGCCCAGCACAGUGGGUUAAGAAUCCAGGGUUGCCAAAGCUGUGGCUUAGGUUGCAACUGCAGCUCAGAUCGGAUCCCUGGCCUGGGAACUCCAUAUGCUGCAAGGCAGCCAAAAAAAGAAAACAAACAAAAACUAUAUAUAUAUGUGUGUGUGUGUGUACAAAUCCCACUGCUUGCUCCAUGAGUCCCCUAAAAUGAAGAUAAGACUCCAGCCAAGAAAUUAAGUUGAUUUGGGAAAAACUAAAAAUCCCUCCUUGGUGUUAUAACUUCAAGUUCAGUUUACUGUUAUUAUGUAGUGCUUUCUAGCAAUAUUUUCCCAUUUAUAUUAUUUUUAAAAGAAAUGGAAUUUCCCUGGUGGCCUAACAGGUUAAGGAUCCCGCAUUGUCACUGCUGUGGAUAAGUGACAAUGCUGUGGUGUGGGUUUGACCCUUGGCCCAGGAACUUCUGCAUACCAUGUCCAAAAAAGCCCAUUAUUGCCUUAGAGAUUUCCAAUUAUCUCUCCUGUUUGAUUAACAAAAACUGGUUAAUUAGGUUUCACUGUAUGAGCUAAGGAGUUUCAUUAUUCUGUUUGCCUAAAAUCUAAAAUUUGUACUACACAUUUGCAUAUAUAUCUCUUACAUAUAUGUAUUUGUAUAUUUG